RNAcentral lists this ribosomal RNA (472 nucleotides) under uncultured bacterium. RNAcentral's name for it is "bacterial SSU rRNA". It matches the Rfam family "Bacterial small subunit ribosomal RNA", at positions 34 to 507 of the family's 1533-position model. The record is from RNAcentral.
CGCUGGCGGCGUGCUUAACACAUGCAAGUCGAACGGAGUACCCGAAAUUGAAGCUUCGGCUAGAUUUUUGGAAUACUUAGUGGCGGACGGGUGAGUAACACGUGAGUAACCUGCCCUUGAGUGGGAAUAACACACCGAAAGGUGUGCUAAUACCGCAUAACAUAUGGAGUUCGCAUGAACACCAUAUCAAAGAUUUAUUGCUCAAGGAUGGGCUCGCGUCCGAUUAGGUAGUUGGUGAGGUAACGGCUCACCAAGCCGACGAUCGGUAGCCGGACUGAGAGGUUGAACGGCCACAUUGGGACUGAGACACGGCCCAGACUCCUACGGAAGGCAGCAGUGGGGAAUAUUGCACAAUGGGGGAAACCCUGAUGCAGCGACGCCGCGUGAAGGAUGAAGGUCUUCGGAUCGUAAACUUUUGUCUUCAGGGACGAUAAUGACGGUACCUGAGGAGGAAGCCACGGCUAACUACGUG